UUUGUUAUUGAAUUGACUUUGACUUUGCUCGUCUCAUAUUUGAACAUUUCGAUCGGAUCCAUCUGAUCAAGGAAACUGUAGAAGUUACAAAGAGCAAACCCAGAAACAGAAUUCUGCUUUAGGAAAACUCUAAACUCCAAAGAGACGAAACCCAAACAACAAUUCAACUUCUCUCGUAGCAUUUUUCUCUUCUCUUACUUUUACAUUCUUCAACUCUCUAUUCAACUCUUUUAAUGUCCUUUUUAAAUGCUUCUGUUCUUGUAUGAGCUCAUGUUGCCUUUACAGUUUCUCAUGGUGUCUUUUAUAUUUUAUGUAACAGCACUUUGAAUUGACUUGUUAUUGAAAUGUGACACAGUGAUAAAGCUGCCGCACCUUUACCUGAGCAGACAUGAGGAACAUCAUUUGAUUAACAGAUGAGCAGAACAGGAAGAACAACUUUCUUCAUCUUACUGGAAACGAGGUGAACAGGACGGACCGGUCCAGAGGGGCGGGGACAAAGAAGUAUAAAGGAUCCUGUUUCACAGAAAUAUUCUUUGCAGAGGACACGCACAAAGUAAGCACUUUGAAUGGACUUGUUAUUGAAAUGUGACACAGUGAUAAAGCUGCCGCACCUUUACCUGAGCAGACAUGAGGAACAUCAUUUGAUUAACAGAUGAGCAGAACAGGAAGAACAACUUUCUUCAUCUUACUGGAAACGAUCGGUUACCAUUGCCAAACUUGCCACGACACCUUUUUUAUACAUGUACAAAAUAUUACUAGUAAAUGUAUAUUACACAGUUGCACAGCUACAAAACCUUUUACAUGUGUACAAAAUAUUUAUGUAGCUUCCCACGUUACAGCAUUAUUUCACAAAAUAUUAGAUCAGUAAUUUGAUCUCAGUAGAGCUCUUUCCUCAGUCUCUUAAUUUCGAAACAGCUGAACCAAAUAACUCACAGAGAGAAGAUGAUCCCCUGGAUCUUGUUGCUCGUCACACUGACCGCCUGCGUCUGUGUUUAGUUCUCACCUUCACUUCAUCGCCCAUAAACUAAAAUAAGCAGAUAGUUCAGGUCCUCACUUUUCCCUCUGUGUCCCCUCAGCAGGAACAUUAGUUGUCAAUGUGACACAGCCCCACAACUCAAUAAACAGAUUGUUUAAAAAACAGAUUUUCUUAUUUUGUCUCAUGUUCAUAAGGAUCAGUUAAAGUAAAUCAUUGUAAAAAGAUAAUAAAUUAUUCAUUUAAGGUUCAAAAACUU
Molecule: long non-coding RNA, 1232 nt
Organism: Hippoglossus stenolepis (Pacific halibut)
Lineage: Eukaryota; Metazoa; Chordata; Actinopteri; Pleuronectiformes; Pleuronectidae
Exons: 3
Source: RefSeq, a predicted model, not a curated record